This is a non-coding RNA of Anas platyrhynchos (mallard), 5416 nucleotides long. The record is from RefSeq and is a predicted model, not a curated record. Lineage: Eukaryota; Metazoa; Chordata; Aves; Anseriformes; Anatidae.
CUUUAAGAGCAGAAGGGGUGGAGGGUUAGGGUUUGGCUGAAAUAUUCUGUUCUUCCUCCUCUAAAGUCUUGCUGCUCAGCAACUGCUUGGGAUGGGUCUACAUUAGAGCAGAUGGGUUAUUCAAGAAAGGGCAUAAUACCCAAGCUGAUGAUCGAAUCCCCCAUGGUCCAGAUGAAUUUGGCCUUCGGGUUUCUGUGCUCUGUCCUAGCACAUCAGUGCAUCUGGUGGCUUGAUCCAUGGCUAGUUAAUGGAGAUGGGCCAUGGCUUAUUCUUCAGUGAGACAUCUUUAAUGUUACAGCAAGGAAAAACCCUGAGUCAUGGGCAUGCCCAAUCCAGCUGUAGUUGGAUGAACUGCCAGGUCAGCUUCAUGUUCUGGCAAAGAGUGGGGCAAAAUCCAAAGAGCUGCCACUAAAACCAGUGCCUGUGGCCAACAUCCCAGAUGUCCUGAGUCUUCUGGGAUGAACUGCAGAAAGAAAACCAGCUUUUCAGCACAUAAUUUGCAUAAUUUUUCAUGUCUUUUUUCAUGUCCAUGCUGCCAUGGCUUAUGAGGAUGUGAGGACACUCUAGGGAUGGAAGUAGAAAUUUAAGCUGUAAUCCUCACAGUUUUAGACACUUUAAAAAUAUCAGUGCAUCACAAGAGUAACUGACCUUUCCGGGUCCCAGAUGCUGUUUGUGUGUGAAAGGAAAUGUCAGAAAGGAUGGGAGAAGUCCUGAUCCUGAUCUCCAUCAAAUUCAACAGCAAAACUCUUAGUGACUAGUGGAAAUGGGACCUUGAAGGAAGUGUCUCCUGCUGAAAUGCUCUGAGGAUAUUUUGAAAACCAAAUUAAUAAAUAAUUGAACCAUCUGCAUCAGAGACUCUAAGUGGAGUGACACAUGGAGGGUGUCUGUAAAUGGAACAGCUUCAAAUAUGCAGGGUAAAAUACACAUUGGAAUGGAUUUUUUUCCUUAAAAGACAUAAUUAUCAUUUGGGUCUAUAUUGCAAGCACAAUGAGAGGCCCUGUCUGAGAGAUGGGUUGUUUUCUCCUAAGAAAUGAACACACAAGUGGUAAAAUAUUGCUCCUGCCCUACAGGGGUUACCAUCGUAUUAAUAAAACAGACUGGGGUCAAGAACAAUACCAAGGAAAUGGUUUGCCUGAGGCCACACAGCAGAUCAGCCUCCCAUUUCCUAGAGUCCAGCUGGGCUCCUUGUCUUUUUGACAGAAGACCAUGUUGCCUCUAAAGCUGCUAUCUGUUGAAUCUCCUCCCAUCACCACCAGGCACCUUCUGCCCUGGACUGGAGAACUGCAUUUUAAUUAGCAUCCCUCUUGGGGUUGCAGUAGUGGUUGGAGCUGAUGUUUCACACCAGCAAUCUUUGUAAGAACAGGGCCAUACCAAAAGCUCACAGAGGUCACUUCUGAACUACUGAGUUUAAUAACUUCCAAUCCAUUUUUCAGGUGUCUUAUUUUUUUUUUUCCACUCCUGCAACAUCCUGAGGAAAUGAGUUGCCUAGCUGAUGCGCUGUGGGAUCACUUUCCUGUUAUUGUGUUCAGACCAGGUAUCUGGACUUCCUUUGGUUUAGAUUGGAAGAAGCAGUGAAUAAUUAAUUGUUACGGGUUCUCUUCUUCCACUCUACCCUUAAUUUUAUAUUUAUAUCCUAUAGUCCCCCACUAUUAUUCCUUUGCCAAGUCAAGGUGAUCUAGUUAUUUAGCUGCCUUCUAUCUAGAAACAUAGCAAAGCAAGGUAGUGUAUUUUUGGGAAAAAGUUUCAUUUGCAUAACCUAUAGAUAGCAACAACAUCAGCCUUUGUUUAAAAACCUGAAAUAGAGAGGAAUAUUGAGAAAGGCACUGACAGCAAGAGAAAUGCCUCAAUUGAGAGAUACAGAGGGUGAGAUUUAUCACAUCUAACAUGCAAUGUUCCUGUGCAGACAUCUCUAUCUGAGGCUGUCUCCCUGUGCCCCUGAUUUAGGGGCUCGCCAAGACAGGUGAGAGAGGGCAGGGUUGGAUUGACUUAUUUUUGGGGAGAUGAUUCCUGCCCUGCAGCCCUAAUGGAGGCUGAGGCAGAUGCAGGCACCUGCUUUUUGAUGUGAUGAUACUCAAAUAAGACUCAGGCUGUGAGCUGUAGCAGUAACCUUUAAGUAGCCAUGGCCAAUGAAUUAGUCUUGAUGCUCCCUCACUGUGCCAUAUCUGUUAUUAAUCCCUGAGUAAUCACUGAGAAUAGUGCCCUGGGCCAACUCUGCUUGGUUUCUGGACAUUUCUGGAAGUAUAGAGGAUGCAGCAUGGUCACCUUCCCUGUGCGCCUGGAAAUUUCUCUUCUUGGCUCUCAGUGGCAGAAAUUCAAUCAAGAAAUCUGAAAUGUGAUAUUAUUUUUUCCUGCACAAUCAGGCCGAGUAGAAUAUAAAUCUUUUAUAAAUGCAAAAAUAUUUUUGAUCACUUGACAUCUCAUUUAUACUAAUUGUCUUUGAAUAUAAUUAGCUUUCAUAGGGAUAAAUUUCCUCAUUUUUAGGUUGUAGCUGAAAUUACAUUAUAUGUAUAUAAAGUAGGAGAUGGACUUUCUGUUGCAGUUGAUUUAAAUAUAUCUUUACUGUGUGAAUAAAGCCCUUUAUAUUUCUGGGAGAACAAAAGAAAAUCUGUACCUCACCAGUUCUUUUGGUGCUCUCACAUAAGCAAACACGAACAGCAGCAUUAGCAUGAAGCAGAUGCUAAAUACAUUAAAUACAUGCCAAAGGCUCAGAAAAAGGGUUCUUACGGUAGCAAUGUGAAGUAUUUGCAGUGAUAAAACUAUAAAGGGUUGGAACAUCCCCUUAAAAAAGGGAAGGUUCCACCUGGAUGUUAGAGGAGAUCUUACUGCCAGGGACAGCCAACCCCUAAACCGAGACACCUGCACAAAGAAUGGGACAGUACCAGGGCUGUCCCCAUGUCUGGACAAUUGCAGUGGUGCCAGGAGGUGUAAGUCAUGUAGAACCCACAGCAUCUUUCUCCAGAUCCUGCUCUGGCCAAGGCAAGGCUUGUAGUGGGGACUUUGACCAAGCAAAAGGUUACAGAUGAUGGGAAUCAAACAUGUGGGAGAGCAUGGAGAAUUGGAAAAUAGUGGGUGCUGCUGUAUGGCUUACAUCAUUUCACUUUUCUCUGCUUUAUCUCAUGUGGUUCUGUGCGUCCAGGCGAAUUCACAAGAGGAGAGGAACCAAAGGGUUCAUUUCCACCAGGAUGUAACCAACAUAUCUCUUGUCUCAGCACCACCAGCUCUCACCACAUAGGAGCACAAGCAGAGUCUCCUGUUGUUAUCUCUACUCAAAUCCUUUGUCUGCAGGGGUGGCGAAGCAACAUUUGUGAAAACAAUGUCUGUCUUUUGUGCUCUGUGGUCUUACAGCCUUAAUCCUGAAGAGUAAGAAGUGGGUUUUCAAGGGCAGCUUUCACCCCAAAACCCCUGACACCAUCCCCUGUCACAACCCCAGACUGUGGGUUGGAGCCAGGUGGCCAUCACAGCCCCUGUGGGAGAUUUGGGAUGGGGAAUGUGGAUGGCAGCUCUGGCUUGCCACUUUGGCUGAUUUGCUACUGGUUUAAUCCUUGUGCAAUGCCUCCUCUCUGCAUCCAGGCAUUCAGUGAAUGUAAAGCAGAAAUAAAAGAGUUCCCUCAUUAAAAUCUGGUCACAGAAAUGAAGAUAAUAGCCCUGGCUUUGCGAGGUGGAUACGCGAGCCCCAGUAAGGAGGGGGAGAUGAUAGAUGGAGUUAAAUUUACCUCCUGUCCCUCAGACACCCCCUGCUCCUAUGUGGCUGCCGUCAGCACGUAACGUCUCCGGUGGUAAUGAAUGACUGACAGCACCGCACGAUUCCCUGCCGGAGAGCUGCCGCUCAGGGGCUCUCGGGAGGAAACGGGAGAGGAACCUGAUUGAAAAAAUAACCCCCGAUGCCGGUCUCUGGUGAUUUGCCUCCCCACCCUCAUCAGCAGCUCCAGACACUCCAGCUGAGGGCUUGCGGCCUGGAGUCGUGUGGCCGGGAGCACGUUUCUGCCUCCUCUUCCUCAGCGCAGACACCUCCACCCCUGUGGGCUGAGCCCUCUCCUAAAUCCUGGCUGAAGGUUCAGCUCCUCUCCUGACAGUGAGCUGGAAAGGAAAUUAUUUUUUUCCCCAUUUUCAGACCCAUGAGUUCACCAAUGCUGUGAAUGUUUGGGGUUUUCAGAAAGGAAGCGAAAUCUGAGCGCUCGGGGGAUAAAUUCCUGGAAAAGUCAGGCAGCGCUUAAUUUUCAGACCUGAAGAAAGGGAAGGAACACAAUGGAAGCCUAGAUCUUAGAAAAACCUGUUCAAAGAGCCUCUAAAAAGGCUUUCAGCCCCAAGAUUUAGCACCAGAAAAGGAUGGCUUUUAAACACACUGAACUCUAGAGACCUGCCCUGGGUAGUGUUGUUAGGGGAAAAAAAAAAAAAAGGCAGAAAGUUGGAGAAGAUCCUAACAGAAGGAGUCCAAAAACUGCUGAGUUCAAGUCUGGAGCCCUCCCCAAAGUGCUGCCCACAUUAAAUCUGUCUGAGUUGUUCUGGUAAAAGGGGAGAGAGGACGGCUUCCUCCUUUCGUGGCUGGGGACAAGGAUGGGGGCGAUGCCCAGGCUGAUGGAUUUGGGGGAUACAAGGUGAUUGUCCGCAAGGUGCUCCACAGACACCUUCUUGUCUUGCCACAAUUGAGCGAUGGCUUUCCAACCACCCCCUUUACAGCCCUGUUUCAGCACUAAGACCUCAGCACCCCGUAUCUAGGUAUGGAGGGUGCAGGCCUCUCAGGAGAGCAGGUGACCCAAAUUAGGCCUUUUUCCCCUGAUCUCACACAUUGCAGUGAUGGUUUCCAGCUGGCUCUGAGUGAUUCACCAAGAUCCCACAGGUGGUUAGGGGAUAGUUGGGUUCCUACCCUUGUUUCCUCUUUAAAUGAGCACCUUAAAUUAAUGUUAACACAGGACAAUCACCUCCAACAUUGACCAUUGCAGAGCCAGGAUUGAACAAAAUCAUUUAAAAUCAAUUUCUCUGCAUGCCAUAAGCUGGGUCCAGUCUGUGAUACCGGCACCAGGAUGCAGAGCAUGCAAAUGAGAUCAUUAGCCCUCAAAUGAAGCAGGGCAUGUGCUCUGCUCCAGAUGCUGCAGCUGAAACAUUGCAGAUCUCUGGUCAGCGUUUGGCUUUCCACGUUGGCAAGUGUCCAUCAGUCACGAUGCCAGACGGACAACUUGACAAGUCCUCUCACAGCAGCAUCCCCUGGCCACAAAACAGCUCACAAAAGUGCCUGGCCACUGGUGCCUUCGACUGCAGCAUCUCUUCAGUUGACUGGUGAAAAGAGAGCAUGCACUUGGUAGAAAAUAUGGUCUACGGUGACUGUAAAUACUGCGUGAAUUAUUAAUUUGCUGUUUACUAACUUCAAUAUUUUUCUAUUCAAUUAUUCUCUAUAGAUAGAGCAAGGGACAGCUCUGAU